This 253-nucleotide ribosomal RNA is filed under the name uncultured bacterium. Its description in RNAcentral is "partial 16S ribosomal RNA". It matches the Rfam family "Bacterial small subunit ribosomal RNA", at positions 524 to 776 of the family's 1533-position model. The record is from RNAcentral.
UACAGAGGGUGCAAGCGUUAAUCGGAAUUACUGGGCGUAAAGCGCACGUAGGUGGAUAAUUAAGUUAGAUGUGAAAGACCCGGGCUCAACCUGGGAGGGUCAUUUAAUACUGGUUAUCUAGAGUACAGUAGAGGGAAGUGGAAUUUCCGGUGUAGCGGUGAAAUGCGUAGAUAUCGGAAGGAACAUCAGUGGCGAAGGCGGCUUCCUGGACUGAUACUGACACUGAGGUGCGAAAGCGUGGGUAGCGAACAGG